RNAcentral lists this ribosomal RNA (351 nucleotides) under Triticum aestivum (bread wheat). RNAcentral's name for it is "partial small subunit ribosomal RNA". The record is from RNAcentral. Lineage: Eukaryota; Viridiplantae; Streptophyta; Magnoliopsida; Poales; Poaceae.
AUGUGUGUGUGUUGUGUUUGUGUGUGCGUGGCCGCGACCAUGCUUCGCAUUUCGGUGUUGUCUAUGUGUGGUCGUGUGGUCGUCUCACCUCAAACACAUCCUAGGCUGGUGCAUGAGUUGCUGAGGAAACGCCCAAGGUUGUGGCCUCUCGACCACAACUUCGUCUCAUGGAAGCUGUUGGAUGUGGACAGCCAGAACGAGUUCAAUUCUACAUGGCUCAUCAAGGAGAAAAAGAAGAGGAACUCGAGUGGUUUCUCUGUGGAAAAGGGCAGAAGAAAUUGUGCUAUGAACAUGCUUGUUGAUACGCCCAUGAGAACGGGUGCAUUUUUCUAUAGAUUUUUGUGUUGCUGA